GUGCCAGCCGCCGCGGUAAUACGUAGGUGGCGAGCGUUAUCCGGAUUUAUUGGGCGUAAAGCGUGCGCAGACGGUUUACUAAGUCUAAGAUGAAAGCCCGAAGCUUAACUUCGGAUUGUUUUAGAAACUGGUAGGCUUGAGUAUAGUAGAGGCAAAUGGAAUUUCUAGUGUAGCGGUAAAAUGUGUAGAUAUUAGAAGGAACACCAGUGGCGAAAGCGAUUUGCUAGGCUAUUACUGACGUUCAUGCACGAAAGCGUGGGGAGCAAAUAGGAUUAGAUACCCUAGUAGUCCACGCCGUAAACGAUGAGUACUAAGUGUCGGGUUUCCGGUGCUGAAGUUAACACAUUAAGUACUCCGCCUGAGUAGUACGGUCGCAAGGCUGAAACUCAAAGGAAUUGGCGG
Molecule: ribosomal RNA, 402 nt
Filed under: uncultured bacterium
Lineage: Bacteria
Description: bacterial SSU rRNA
Rfam family: Bacterial small subunit ribosomal RNA
Source: RNAcentral